This 584-nucleotide long non-coding RNA is filed under the name Anas platyrhynchos platyrhynchos (common mallard). RNAcentral's name for it is "lncRNA (ENSAPLG00000016524.1)". The record is from RNAcentral. Lineage: Eukaryota; Metazoa; Chordata; Aves; Anseriformes; Anatidae.
CCCCUGGGGGUCCCCGCAGUCUCCUGGGGGUCCCCGCAGUCCCCUGGGUGCUGUUGAGGUGUCCCCGUGGUCCCCAGGGUGCUGCUGAGGUCUCUCUGUGGUCUUCAGGGUGCCAGGGAGGUGUCCCCAAUGUCCCUUGGGUGCUGGGGACAUGUCCCCAAGGUCCCCUGGCUGUGCCCACAGAUCCCUGGGUGCUGUUGAGGUGUCCCCAAGGUCCCCAGGGUGCCCGAACGGUUUCCUCAAGGUCCCCUGGGUGCUGGGGACAUGUCCCCAAGGUCCCCUGGGUGUCCCCACAGAUCCCUGGGUGCUGGGGACGUGUCCCCAAGGUCCCCAGGGUGCCAUGGAGGUGUCCCCAAGGUCCCCUGGGUGCUGUUGAGGUGUCCCCAAGGUCCCCAGGGUGCCAGGAGGGUGUCCCCAAGGUUCCUUGGGUGCUGGGGACGUGUCCCCAAGGUCCCCUGGGUGCCAGGGAGGCAUCCCCAACGUCCCUUGGGUGCUGGGGACAUGUCCCCAAGGUCCCCUGGGUGCUGUUGAGGUGUCCCCAGGGUGCCAGGGAGGUGUCCCCAGGGUCCCCUCAGUGCUGUUGA